RNAcentral lists this ribosomal RNA (633 nucleotides) under Lactiplantibacillus plantarum. RNAcentral's name for it is "bacterial SSU rRNA". It matches the Rfam family "Bacterial small subunit ribosomal RNA", at positions 85 to 704 of the family's 1533-position model. Lineage: Bacteria; Bacillati; Bacillota; Bacilli; Lactobacillales; Lactobacillaceae. The record is from RNAcentral.
AUUUGAGUGAGUGGCGAACUGGUGAGUAACACGUGGGAAACCUGCCCAGAAGCGGGGGAUAACACCUGGAAACAGAUGCUAAUACCGCAUAACAACUUGGACCGCAUGGUCCGAGUUUGAAAGAUGGCUUCGGCUAUCACUUUUGGAUGGUCCCGCGGCGUAUUAGCUAGAUGGUGAGGUAACGGCUCACCAUGGCAAUGAUACGUAGCCGACCUGAGAGGGUAAUCGGCCACAUUGGGACUGAGACACGGCCCAAACUCCUACGGGAGGCAGCAGUAGGGAAUCUUCCACAAUGGACGAAAGUCUGAUGGAGCAACGCCGCGUGAGUGAAGAAGGGUUUCGGCUCGUAAAACUCUGUUGUUAAAGAAGAACAUAUCUGAGAGUAACUGUUCAGGUAUUGACGGUAUUUAACCAGAAAGCCACGGCUAACUACGUGCCAGCAGCCGCGGUAAUACGUAGGUGGCAAGCGUUGUCCGGAUUUAUUGGGCGUAAAGCGAGCGCAGGCGGUUUUUUAAGUCUGAUGUGAAAGCCUUCGGCUCAACCGAAGAAGUGCAUCGGAAACUGGGAAACUUGAGUGCAGAAGAGGACAGUGGAACUCCAUGUGUAGCGGUGAAAUGCGUAGAUAUAUGGAAG